This 1439-nucleotide ribosomal RNA is filed under the name endosymbiont of Hylobius abietis. RNAcentral describes it as "bacterial SSU rRNA". It matches the Rfam family "Bacterial small subunit ribosomal RNA". The record is from RNAcentral. Lineage: Bacteria; Pseudomonadati; Pseudomonadota; Gammaproteobacteria.
AGAGUUUGAUCAUGGCUCAGAUUGAACGCUAGCGACAAGCUUAACACAUGCAAGUCGAGCGGCAACAUAAAUACUUUUGUAUUUGAUGGCGAGCGGCGUACGGGUGAGUAAUAUCUAAAUAAUCUACCUAAUGAAGGGGGACAACUAUUGGAAACGAUAGCUAAUACCGCGUAAUGUCAAUUUAUAUAAAAAUUGACCAAAGUAGGGGAUUUAAUUUUUAAAAAAUUAAACCUUAUGUCAUUAGAUGAGUUUAGACAAGAUUAGUUAGUAGGUGGGGUAAAGGCUUACCUAGACAAUGAUCUUUAGCUGGUCUGAGAGGAUGGUCAGCCACACUGGAACUGAGACACGGUCCAGACUUCUACGGAAGGCAGCAGUGAGGAAUCUUGCACAAUGGGGGAAACCCUGAUGCAGCUAUGUCGCGUGUGUGAUGAAGGCCUUUUGGUUGUAAAACACUUUCAGCAAGGGAAGAAGUUAAUAUUACUAAUAAUAAUAUUUUAUUGACAUUACCUGCAAAAGAAGUACCGGCUAACUCCGUGCCAGCAGCCGCGGUAAUACGGAGGGUGCAAGCGUUAAUCGGAAUUAUUGGGCGUAAAGAGUGAGCGGGUUGUUUAAUAAGUCAAAUAUAAAAUCUUUAAGCUUAACUUAAAAACUGUAUUUGAAACUAUUAAACUUUUGAGUCUCAUAGAGGGGGGUAGAAUUUCAGGUGUAGCGGUGAAAUGCGUAGAUAUCUGAAGGAAUACCAGAGGCGAAGGCGACCCCCUGGGUGAAGACUGACACUUAUUCACGAAAGCAUGGGUAGCAAACAGGAUUAGAUACCCUGGUAGUCCAUGCCGUAAACUAUGUCGAUUUGAAGAUUGUGUGUUUGUUGUUUCAUGAUUUUCGUAGUUAACACGUUAAAUCGACCGCCUGGGGAUUACGACCGCAAGGUUAAAACUCAAAUGAAUUGACGGGGGCCCGCACAAGCGGUGGAGCAUGUGGUUUAAUUCGAUGCAACGCGAAAAACCUUACCUACUCUUGACAUCCAAAAAAUGGAAUAGAGAUAUUCUAGUGUUUAUGUUUACAUAAAAAUUUUGAGACAGGUGCUGCAUGGCUGUCGUCAGCUCGUGUUGUGAAAUGUUGGGUUAAGUCCCGCAACGAGCGCAACCCUUAUCCUUUGUUACCAUCAAGUAAAGUUGGGGACUCAAAGGAAACUGCUAGUGUUAAACUAGAGGAAGGAGAGGAUGACGUCAAGUCAUCAUGGCCUUUAUGAGUAGGGCUACACACGUGCUACAAUGGUAUAUACAAAGGGCAGCAAAUUUGCGAAAAUAAGCUAAUCCCAUAAAAUAUAUCUUAGUCCGGAUUGAAGUCUGCAACUCGACUUCAUGAAGUAGGAAUCGCUAGUAAUCGUAGAUCAGAACGCUACGGUGAAUACGUUCUCGGGCCUUGUACACACCGCCCGU